RNAcentral lists this ribosomal RNA (424 nucleotides) under uncultured bacterium. RNAcentral describes it as "bacterial SSU rRNA". It matches the Rfam family "Bacterial small subunit ribosomal RNA", at positions 357 to 772 of the family's 1533-position model. The record is from RNAcentral.
GGGAAUUGUUCGCAAUGGGCGCAAGCCUGACGACGCAACGCCGCGUGAGUGAUGAAGGCCUUCGGGUCGUAAAGCUCUGUCAGAGGGGAAGAACCACCAGUCGGCUAAUAUCCGGCAGGCCUGACGGUACCCUCAAAGGAAGCACCGGCUAACUCCGUGCCCGCAGCCGCGGUAAUACGGAGGGUGCAAGCGUUGUUCGGAAUUACUGGGCGUAAAGCGCGUGUAGGUGGUUCGAUAAGUCGAAUGUGAAAGCCCCGGGCUCAACCCGGGAAGUGCAUCCGAAACUGCCGAACUAGAGUCCCGGAGAGGAAGGCAGAAUUCCCAAUGUAGGGGUGAAAUCCGUAGAUAUUGGGAGGAAUACCGGUGGCGAAGGCGGCCUUCUGGACGGUGACUGACACUCAGACGCGAAAGCGUGGGGAGCAAA